AUGUCAAUCCACGCUACUAUUCCAUCCUGUUGUGACCCUGGUUUCCUUAUGGAUUACAAAAUUUUAAAUUGGAAUGUUCGGGGCUUAAACAACCCGGCCAAGAGAAGAGCAACUCUAAUGUUCGCAGCUGAGGUUGGAUGCAACAUAAUCUGCCUCCAAGAGGUGAAAUUAGCUGUGAUUACUCCUGCUAUUGUUGCUGAAAUCUUGGGCACCCAGUUCAGAGAGAACUUCAUUUACAAGCCUGCUGUGGGCACUCGGGGAGGAAUCCUCAUCGCUUGCUCCUCUGAUUUUGAGAUCACCCAUGAACCACUGGCAGAUGGACCAAAUUCAAUCUCAGGGACUGUUAGAGAUCGAACUAACAAUGAUUCUUGGACAAUCUCUGCUGUCUAUGGACCGCAAACAGACUCGGAUAAGAUAUUGUUCAUUGAGGAGCUCAAAAACAUCAAGCAGUUUGCUCAAGCCUGCUGGAUGGUGACUGGGGAUUUCAAUCUGAUAAAGAAGGCUGACGAGAAGAACAAUGGUAAUAUCAAUCUGCAAAUGAUGGGCUGCUUUGGACCAGCUUGA
This 564-nucleotide ribosomal RNA is filed under the name Triticum aestivum (bread wheat). Its description in RNAcentral is "partial small subunit ribosomal RNA". The record is from RNAcentral. Lineage: Eukaryota; Viridiplantae; Streptophyta; Magnoliopsida; Poales; Poaceae.